This 513-nucleotide ribosomal RNA is filed under the name uncultured bacterium. RNAcentral's name for it is "bacterial SSU rRNA". It matches the Rfam family "Bacterial small subunit ribosomal RNA", at positions 791 to 1301 of the family's 1533-position model. The record is from RNAcentral.
UAGUCCACGCCGUAAACGAUGGAUACUAGGUGUCCGGGAUAUUAACCUCCUGGGUACUACAGUUAACGCGUUAAGUAUCCCGCCUGGGGAGUGCGGUCGCAAGAUUAAAACUCAAAGGAAUAGACGGGGACCCGCACAAGCGGUGGAGCAUGUGGUUUAAUUCGACGAUACGCGAAGAACCUUACCUGGACUUGACGUAGUAAGAAUAUUUAAGAGAUUAGAUAGUGUCUGCUUGCAGAAACUUGCAUACAGGUGCUGCACGGCUGUCGUCAGCUCGUGUCGUGAGAUGUUGGGCUAAGUCCCGCAACGAGCGCAACCCUCGUCGUUAGUUGCUAACAGUUCGGCUGAGAACUCUAACGAGACUGCCUGGGUAACCAGGAGGAAGGUGAGGACGACGUCAAGUCAUCAUGGCCCUUACGUCCAGGGCUACACACGUGCUACAAUGGGGCAUACAAAGAGCAGCGAUACCGCGAGGUGGAGCAAAUCUCAAAAAUGCCUCCCAGUUCGGAUAGU